CUGGCUCAGAACGAACGCUGGCGGCAUGGAUUAGGCAUGCAAGUCGAACGGGAGCAGCAAUGCUCCAGUGGCGCAAGGGUGAGGAACACGUGAACAACCUGCCUUCGAGUUGGGGAUAGCUUCUGGAAACGGGAGAUAAUACCGAAUAACAUCACCGGAUCGCAUGAUCUGGUGAUCAAAGCAGCAAUGCGCUUGAAGAGGGGUUCGCGUCCCAUUAGCUAGUUGGUGAGGUAACGGCCCACCAAGGCGAUGAUGGGUAGCUGGUCUGAGAGGACGAUCAGCCACAUUGGGACUGAGAUACUGCCCAGACUCCUACGGGAGGCUGCAGUCGAGAAUUUUGGGCAAUGGACGAAAGUCUGACCCAGCCAAUGCCGCGUGCGGGAUGAAGGUCUUCGGAUUGUAAACCGCUGUCAAGAGGGACGAAACAUGACGGUACCUCUGGAGGAAGCCACGGCUAACUACGUGCCAGCCGCAGC
Molecule: ribosomal RNA, 476 nt
Filed under: uncultured bacterium
Lineage: Bacteria
Description: bacterial SSU rRNA
Rfam family: Bacterial small subunit ribosomal RNA
Source: RNAcentral